This 253-nucleotide ribosomal RNA is filed under the name uncultured bacterium. Its description in RNAcentral is "partial 16S ribosomal RNA". It matches the Rfam family "Bacterial small subunit ribosomal RNA", at positions 524 to 776 of the family's 1533-position model. The record is from RNAcentral.
UACGUAGGGGGCAAGCGUUGUCCGGAUUUAUUGGGCGUAAAGAGCGUGUAGGCGGCCACACAGGUCAGCUGUGAAAACUCGAGGCUCAACCUCGAGACGUCGGUUGAAACCGUAUGGCUAGAGUCCGGAAGGGGCGAGUGAAAUUCCUGGUGUAGCGGUGAAAUGCGCAGAUAUCAGGAGGAACACCAAUGGCGAAGGCAGCUCGCUGGAACGGUACUGACGCUGAGGCGCGAAAGCGUGGGGAGCAAACAGG